GUAGCACUGGACUUAUUUAUUUUUGCAGCUGAUAACUCUUACCGCGUAUAACCAGUCAUGUGAAGAGGAAAGUUAGGAACAUGAAGUCCCCCUGAUUCCGGAUUGAACUGUUUAGAAGCUGCAUGGACCGUGCUAACUAAUCAGUGGGUGAGACACAGCGUUCAAGGGCCAAUAAGGUGGAUUCUUUUGAGCCACCAGGGAAGAGAGGGAAGGCAACACUGCCUCUCUCCCAGGACCAGUGGAAGCAGUAAUGGAGCUGUGUGUCACCAUGAGUAGCUAUUUCUGCCACUUAAUUUGGGGGAUACAAGAAAUGAAGCCAGUAUGAAGGAAAGGAAACUGGGAGCCAGGAAGUCUAAAUGACUUGCCUGGAAGCUGUAUGCUGUGCCCAUGGGAAAGCUGGGCUGGAACCCAUCCUCCAACCUUCCCAGCUCAGUGUUUCUCUUCAAAUACACUUUCCGUGAAUACUCUGGACAUAUAUCCUACUUUCAUGGUCAAAGCUAAAUCCUUGGAAGAAAGCAAGAAUGAAUUUUCCCCUGUGAUUUCAAAAUAAGAGAAACAUGUUGUAAUUGUAAUACACCAUGCUUUUAAGAAUGUACAGUUCUCUGUAGAAUCUGUAGGUCAUAAAGUGCUUUCUAACACAUUUAAUCUCUGUAACAAUUCAGGUGAAGAUUGUUAUUAAUACCAGAUAUAGAAGAGGCUUGGUCAAGGUUUCCAAAAAUCAAAAUUGGGACUCAGGAAAGGUUUGAGUUUUCAAUUCCAUUUUAGGAGUUUUUGUUAUGCUAUAAGAAAGAUGAUACCUAAGUGCUCUUAAGUAUGAGUGAUCAUUAGUCACGGAGAGGAGACUCCCAGAUAUCCCCCACUUCCUUUAGCUCCACGCUGAAGCUAGGCUCUGCCUCAGUGUAUCCUAAAAUGUUGACACCCACACUGCUGUGACAUGCCAAUUCAUAGUGGACUGAGUUUUCCAGCUCAUCAAUCAACAAAAACUCACUUACUUGAGAAAGGCCUAGUUGAAUCCACACUAGCAGUGGCAACAAUAAUAAAAACAGUUGAUGUUUAUCAGAUACUUUUUCUAGAUGACUUUUAAGUUAUUGACUGAUUUUAUUUUCCCAGCAAAGCUAUGACCAUUAUAUUUCAAUUUUAUAGAUGAGCCACAGAGAGGGUAGGUAACCUACUUCAGGUAACACAGCUAGUAAAUGGCAGGUAAGUAAAAUUUGCAUUUUUGUUUUUCUUAUUAAAAGUGUUGGGAAGAUCCCUUGGAGAAGGAAAUGGCAGCCCACUCCAGUAUUCUUGACUGGGAAAUCCCAUGGACAGAGGAGCCUGGUGGGCUACAGUCCAUGGGAUCGCAAAGAGUUGGACACAACUGAACGUCUAACACUUUCCUUUUCAGUAUUUUCAUAUCGUUAACUCCAACUGUUCAAUCCUUCAUCUAUGGUCUAAGAUUCUCCCCUUGCUGAAGCUCAGGUUCUCAGCUCCAAAACCACUGGGUUGAACUAGCAGUUCAUUCUAGUACUAUUGUCCCCUCCCCACUACUGAGGGCUUCCCUUGUGGCUCAGCUGGCAAAGAAUCCGUCCAUAAUGUGGGAGACCUGGGUUUAAUUCCUGGGGGGAAGAGCCUCUGGAGAAGGGAAAGGCUACCCAUUCCAGUACUCUGGCCUGGAGAAUUCCAUGGGGUUGCAAAGAGUUGGAUACAACUGAGGGA
Bos taurus (domestic cattle) is the source of this 1698-nucleotide long non-coding RNA. The record is from Ensembl. Lineage: Eukaryota; Metazoa; Chordata; Mammalia; Artiodactyla; Bovidae.